GUAGGGAAUAUUGGACAAUGGGCGAAAGCCUGAUCCAGCCAUGCCGCGUGAUAGAUGAAGGCCCUCUGGGUUGUAAAUAUCUUUUAUCUGGGAAGAAACUCCUCUAUUCUUAGAGGCCUGACGGUACCAGAGGAAUAAGCACCGGCUAACUCCGUGCCAGCAGCCGCGGUAAUACGGAGGGUGCAAGCGUUAUCCGGAUUCACUGGGUUUAAAGGGUGCGUAGGCGGGUUGAUAAGUCAGUGGUGAAAGCUCCGGGCUUAACUUGGAAACUGCCAUUGUUACUGUCAGUCUUGAAUGUCGUAGAGGUAAGCGGAAUGUUGCAUGUAGCGGUGAAAUGCUUAGAUAUGUUACAGAACACCAAUUGCGAAGGCAGCUUACUAUGCGAUAAUUGACGCUGAGGCACGAAAGCGUGGGGAGCAAACAGGAUUAGAUACCCCAGUAGUCC
Molecule: ribosomal RNA, 445 nt
Filed under: uncultured bacterium
Lineage: Bacteria
Description: partial 16S ribosomal RNA
Rfam family: Bacterial small subunit ribosomal RNA
Source: RNAcentral